UACGGAGGGGGCGAGCGUUGUCCGAAUUUAUUGGGCGUAAAGCGCGUGUAGGCGGACGGGAAAGCCUGGGGUGAAAGGUUGGAGCUCAACUCCAUACAGUGCCCUGGGGACUUCUUGUCUGGAGGCAGGCAGGGGAUCGUGGAAUUCCUGGUGUAGCGGUGGAAUGCGUAGAGAUCAGGAAGAACACCCGUGGCGAAGGCGGCGAUCUGGGCCUGUACUGACGCUGAGACGCGAAAGCGUGGGGAGCGAACGGG
This 254-nucleotide ribosomal RNA is filed under the name uncultured bacterium. RNAcentral describes it as "partial 16S ribosomal RNA". It matches the Rfam family "Bacterial small subunit ribosomal RNA", at positions 524 to 776 of the family's 1533-position model. The record is from RNAcentral.